Molecule: long non-coding RNA, 813 nt
Organism: Hylaeus volcanicus
Lineage: Eukaryota; Metazoa; Arthropoda; Insecta; Hymenoptera; Colletidae
Exons: 3
Source: RefSeq, a predicted model, not a curated record
UAACAUACAAAAUAUUAGUUUCUUUCAUUCUUCAGACCUUACAGCGUUGCUACGCACAAGAAGAUGGAACAUGCAAUCGUGUAAAAGCAGAGGAUGCUGAUAAAAAAGCAGUACGUGCGAGACCAAGGUUGGGAUGAAGAGUUUUAGAGAUCUAGGGUCGAAAAACAAUUCGUAUAGAGACAAUCUCUUUGUAGGUCAAAUUUUAGUUUAGUAUUUGAAAAAGAAUGGAGCCUCGUAAAGGAUGCUGUACAACAGCCAUUUCCCUCCUAGACUCUUCAUCCUCGUUUAUGCAAACCAAAGCAUCAUGCACAACUAAAAUUCCCAAUCCUUGAAUUACUUAUUUUUUUUAUAUCUUGCAGGAAUUUCAAAAUCAAUUAUUUUAGAAACGAGUGAUAUACGCAAUGUUACUGUGCGAUAAAUAAAGAGUCAACGUCUAUUGAUGCACACUCGACACGAAGAACGUUCAAAUUACAAUAUAAGAACCUCCGUAUCGCCCAAACGAUUUGAUGCAAUAACGUGCACCGUAAACGUGACUGCAAUUGGUCGGUAUCAAGAUUUAAACUCCAACUUCGAACUUAAAGUACACUAGGCGCCUAGAGGUUAUUUAGAUAAUCGAUCGUGCUUUGAUUUCUCCCAUAUGAUUUAAUGUGAAAGGAUGGCCACAUGAUUUCAGAUUACGAACGGAACAGUUGUAUCGACCAAGGUCCGAUUUCUCCACACGUUUUUCAACCACUUUCGUUGAAGAGUCACAACAUAACGCGCGACGAUAACCCCUACUCGAAUUUCCAGUGUCUGAAACGAGAGUCACGACGU